Molecule: ribosomal RNA, 249 nt
Filed under: uncultured bacterium
Lineage: Bacteria
Description: partial 16S ribosomal RNA
Rfam family: Archaeal small subunit ribosomal RNA
Source: RNAcentral
ACACCGGCAGCUCAAGUGGUGGCCAUUUUUAUUGGGCCUAAAGCGUUCGUAGCCGGCUUGAUAAGUCUCUGGUGAAAUCCCAUAGCUUAACUGUGGGAAUUGCUGGGGAUACUAUUAGGCUUGAGGCCGGGAGAGGUUAGGGGUACGUCCCAGGGUAGGGGUGAAAUCCUAUAAUCCUGGGAGGACCACCUGUGGCGAAGGCGCCUAACUGGAACGGACCUGACGGUGAGUAACGAAAGCCAGGGGCGC